GCCAUGUAAAGAGUAAAGGAUAGGGGACUAGCCUUGUUGUGCCACUAUUACUCAUCCGUGAAAUGGAAGGCAUUAGCCAUAGUUGAGAAAUAAUAGCGGAAUGAUCGAUCUGGAUAUCUCUUGCGAAGCUUGGUUCACAAUAAAAGCACAAUAACGAUCUUUCAGGAACCACGGAUGCAGAACCACAAAUAAACCCUUCAAACUCCUUUAAUUUUCUAGUUCUCUCUUUUUAUUUUCUUUUGCCCUUGUUUUUGGUUUUCUUUGUGUUGCGUGUUGUGCGUAUCCAUGUCUUCUUCUCUUUGCUGCUUAUGGUAAAGGGUAUUUAUGAAAGUGAGGAGAAAAGAGACAUUCGUUUGUUGGAGAAACUUUUAUUUUUUUGGUUAACGGGGAACUUAAUCUUUAAUUAAUCAAGGAGCAAUGUGAUUGUUUGAUACAGGGC
RNAcentral lists this long non-coding RNA (439 nucleotides) under Capsicum annuum. RNAcentral's name for it is "long non-coding RNA (CANN_LNC010006)". Lineage: Eukaryota; Viridiplantae; Streptophyta; Magnoliopsida; Solanales; Solanaceae. The record is from RNAcentral.